GUGUCUUCAGCAGUUGCUUCAGAGAAUAAGAGCCAGUUGUGGUCAGUGUGUGAUAUAUUUGUGUAUGUUUGUGAGUGUGUGUGUGUGUGUGUGUGUAAUAUAAUGAGAACAGUUGCUCAGAGUUCAGUUGGGUCUGGGCAGUACAGAAUGAUGCAGUCCGGCUCUGUGCUGCUGUGUGCUGUGUUUAUAACCUGCUUCUGUUACUGCGACUCCAGUUUAGACGUUUCUGUGACCCAGACUCCAGUUGAACUCACAGUGGAGGAAGGACAGAGUGUGGAUAUCUCCUGUUGCUGGAAUAAAAUCAUCCCUAAUAUUAAAGUGAGGUGGAUUAAACCCAAAGAGACUAAUAAAGACGUUCCUACAGAAAUCCUUAAUACUAACUGCUCAGUUUUCUCUAUAAGAAACGCCUGCAGUAAUGAUACAGGACUGUACAUCUGUGAAGUUCUACAAGACAUUCCUGUACUGGUUACUGUAAAAGGAAAAGGGACGACUGUGAGACUCCUGGAAAAAAAGACAGAGGAAGUUAAUCCACCAGCAGAGAAAGACUCUCACAAACCACCCAGUUCUGGAAAGUAUAAAGUCCAUAUUCCGGACGGCGUCCUGAUCUACAUCCUCCGGUGCCUGCCCUUCAUCACUCUGCUCUUAGCGGUGUGUUAUCUCAACCGAGAUACCAGCAAGAAAACACGGACUAAAACAAACAGAGAGAAUAUCCUCAACCCAAAAGAGCUGGAGGAGGAGGAUGAAGAACCGGGAGAAGAACCUGAGCUGAAUGAAGAACCAGGAGAAGAAGGAGAGCAAAGAGAAGUGGCUGCAAGAAGAGGAGAACCAGAACCGGAAGAGAGAGGAGAAGAACCAGCGAUAUCAGAUAAAUCUGAUAAAAAGAAAAAUGAUAAUGAUCAGAUAAAGGAUGAAGGAGAAACUGUGUCUCUGAUUAUUUAACCCUUUCAGACUUUGCAUCCAUUACAAUUGAUAUCAUUUAUUUUAUUGAUUUUUACAUGUCUUGUUGCACAUAACACUGUUAAAAAUCUGAAUAAACGAAUGAUAAUAAGCUAAUGAACA
RNAcentral lists this long non-coding RNA (1059 nucleotides) under Astyanax mexicanus (Mexican tetra). RNAcentral's name for it is "lncRNA (ENSAMXG00005006346.1)". Lineage: Eukaryota; Metazoa; Chordata; Actinopteri; Characiformes; Acestrorhamphidae. The record is from RNAcentral.